RNAcentral lists this ribosomal RNA (460 nucleotides) under uncultured bacterium. RNAcentral's name for it is "partial 16S ribosomal RNA". It matches the Rfam family "Bacterial small subunit ribosomal RNA", at positions 338 to 795 of the family's 1533-position model. The record is from RNAcentral.
CCUACGGGUGGCAGCAGUGAGGAAUAUUGGGCAAUGGACGAGAGUCUGAACCAGCCAAGUAGCGUGAAGGAUGACUGCCCUAUGGGUUGUAAACUUCUUUUAUAAAGGAAUAAAACGAGGCACGUGUGCCUUUUUGCAUGUACUUUAUGAAUAAGGAUCGGCUAACUCCGUGCCAGCAGCCGCGGUAAUACGGAGGAUCCGAGCGUUAUCCGGAUUUGUUGGGUUUAAAGGGAGCGUAGAUGGGUUGUUAAGUCAGUUGGGAAAGUUUGCGGCCCAACCGUAAAAUUGCAAUUGAUACUGGCAGUCUUGAGUACAGUUGAGGUAGGCGGAAUUCGUGGUGUAGCGGUGAAAUGCUUAGAUAUCACGAAGAACCCCGACUGCGAAGGCAGCUUACUAAGCUGUGACUGACAUUGAUGCUCGAAAGUGUGGGUAUCAAACAGGAUUAGAUACCCGAGUAGUC